Molecule: non-coding RNA, 243 nt
Organism: Lupinus albus (white lupine)
Lineage: Eukaryota; Viridiplantae; Streptophyta; Magnoliopsida; Fabales; Fabaceae
Source: the annotation of a GenBank genome assembly
AUGGUGGGAUUUCCAAUUAGGAAUCUCUGUAAACCACUUCCUAUCAAUUUUUGCUUCUUCAAACUCAGACUUCAGGUAUAGAGCCUUUUCAUUUCUGUUCUCUGAAGGAGAAAAUUAUGAGUUGAAUGAGAUACGACAUGAAGCACAAAGGGAAAUUUGUGAUAUUGCAGAGAAAGAGCUUCGCAAGAGGUAUAAACAAAGAGAUGAAUUACAGAACGAGAUACGACAUGAAAAUGAAUAAAG